GCAGCCGCGGUAAUACGUAGGUGGCAAGCGUUAUCCGGAUUUAUUGGGCGUAAAGGGUGCGUAGGCGGCAGUUUAAGUUUAAGGUGAAAGCGUUGGGCUCAACCCAAUACAGCCUUAAAAACUGGACAGCUAGAGUGCAGGAGAGGUUAGCGGAAUUCCAUGUGUAGCGGUAAAAUGCGUAGAUAUAUGGAGGAACACCAGUGGCGAAGGCGGCUAACUGGCCUGUAACUGACGCUGAGGCACGAAAGCGUGGGGAGCAAAUAGGAUUAGAUACCCC
Molecule: ribosomal RNA, 277 nt
Filed under: uncultured Prevotellaceae bacterium
Lineage: Bacteria; Pseudomonadati; Bacteroidota; Bacteroidia; Bacteroidales; Prevotellaceae
Description: partial 16S ribosomal RNA
Rfam family: Bacterial small subunit ribosomal RNA
Source: RNAcentral